GUCGUAACAAGGUCUCCGUUGGUGAACCAGCGGAGGGAUCAUUACCGAGUCUUACAACUCCCAAACCCCUGUGAACAUACCUAUAUCUUGCUUCGGCGGACCACCCUCGCCCCCCGGCGAGGGCCCGCCAGAGGACCCAAAACCCAACUUUGUUUUUGCCUUACAGUGAACUUCUGAGUGGAUUUUAUAAAUCAAAUCAAAACUUUCAACAACGGAUCUCUUGGCUCUGGCAUCGAUGAAGAACGCAGCGAAAUGCGAUAAGUAAUGUGAAUUGCAGAAUUCAGUGAACCAUCGAAUCUUUGAACGCACAUUGCGCCCGCCAGUACUCUGGCGGGCAUGCCUGUUCGAGCGUCAUUACAACCCUCAAGCCCCCGGGCUUGGUGUUGGGGAUCGGGAAUCGCCACGGCGGCCGGGGAAACCCACCGCCCGACGCGCCCCGUCCCCCAAAUCUAUCGGCGGUCACGUCGCGGCCUCUUGUGCGUAGUAGCUAACACCUCGCACCGGAGCCCGACGUGGUCCACGCCGUAAAACCCCCGACUUUUUACCAAGUUGACCUCGAAUCAGGUAGGACUACCCGCUGAACUUAAGCAUAUCAAUA
Molecule: ribosomal RNA, 598 nt
Filed under: Thelonectria discophora
Lineage: Eukaryota; Fungi; Ascomycota; Sordariomycetes; Hypocreales; Nectriaceae
Description: eukaryotic LSU rRNA
Rfam family: 5.8S ribosomal RNA (bases 201-354)
Source: RNAcentral